Molecule: ribosomal RNA, 76 nt
Filed under: Rhizobium croatiense
Lineage: Bacteria; Pseudomonadati; Pseudomonadota; Alphaproteobacteria; Hyphomicrobiales; Rhizobiaceae
Also listed under: 1 other name
Source: RNAcentral
CCUGGUGGUUAUGGCGGGGUGGCUGCACCCGUUCCCUUUCCGAACACGGCCGUGAAACGCCCCUGCGCCCAUGGUA